RNAcentral lists this transfer RNA (77 nucleotides) under Candidatus Omnitrophota bacterium. RNAcentral's name for it is "Candidatus Omnitrophica bacterium tRNA-His". It matches the Rfam family "tRNA". From Rfam's summary of the family: Transfer RNA (tRNA) molecules are approximately 80 nucleotides in length. Their secondary structure includes four short double-helical elements and three loops (D, anti-codon, and T loops). Lineage: Bacteria; Pseudomonadati; Candidatus Omnitrophota. The record is from RNAcentral.
GUGGCUGUAGCGCAGUUGGUUAGCGCACAAGAUUGUGGAUCUUGAGGUCGCGGGUUCAAAUCCCGUCAGCCACCCCA